UGCGUAGGUGGUUCUGUGUGUCGGAUGUGAAAUGUCACCGCUCAACGGUGAAAGGACAUUCGAAACUGCAGUACUAGAGUGCAGGAGAGGAGAGCGGAAUUCUUGGUGUAGCGGUGGAAUGCGUUGAUAUCAAGAAGAACACCGGUGGCGAAGGCGGCUCUCUGGAAUGUUACUGACGCUGAGGCACGAAAGCGUGGGGAGCGAACAGGAUUAGAUACCCUGGUAGUCC
Molecule: ribosomal RNA, 229 nt
Filed under: uncultured bacterium
Lineage: Bacteria
Description: partial 16S ribosomal RNA
Rfam family: Bacterial small subunit ribosomal RNA
Source: RNAcentral